This 445-nucleotide ribosomal RNA is filed under the name uncultured bacterium. RNAcentral describes it as "SSU rRNA". It matches the Rfam family "Bacterial small subunit ribosomal RNA", at positions 26 to 518 of the family's 1533-position model. The record is from RNAcentral.
AGAGCGAACGCUGGCGGCAGGCUUAACACAUGCAAGUCGAGCGCCCCGCAAGGGGAGCGGCAGACGGGAGAGUAACACGUGGGAACGUACCCUUUGGUUCGGAACAACACAGGGAAACUUGUGCUAAUACCGGAUAAGCCCUUACGGGGAAAGAUUUAUUGCCAAAGGAUCGGCCCGCGUCUGAUUAGCUUGUUGGUGAGGUAACGGCUCACCAAGGCUACGAUCAGUAGCUGGUCUGAGAGGAUGAUCAGCCUCACUGGGACUGAGACACGGCCCAGACUCCUACGGGAGGCAGCAGUGGGGAAUAUUGGACAAUGGGCGCAAGCCUGAUCCAGCCAUGCCGCGUGGAUGAUGAAGGCCCUAGGGUUGUAAAGUCCUUUCGACGGGGAAGAUAAUGACGGUACCCGUAGAAGAACGCCCCGGCUAACUUCGUGCCAGCAGCCGC